RNAcentral lists this ribosomal RNA (301 nucleotides) under uncultured bacterium. RNAcentral's name for it is "partial 16S ribosomal RNA". It matches the Rfam family "Bacterial small subunit ribosomal RNA", at positions 509 to 808 of the family's 1533-position model. The record is from RNAcentral.
CAGUCGCCGCGGUAAUACGUAGGGUGCGAGCGUUAAUCGGAAUUACUGGGCGUAAAGCGUGCGCAGGCGGUUGUGUAAGACAGGUGUGAAAUCCCCGGGCUUAACCUGGGAACUGCGCUUGUGACUGCACAGCUAGAGUAUGGCAGAGGGGGGUGGAAUUCCACGUGUAGCAGUGAAAUGCGUAGAGAUGUGGAGGAACACCGAUGGCGAAGGCAGCCCCCUGGGCCAAUACUGACGCUCAUGCACGAAAGCGUGGGGAGCAAACAGGAUUAGAUACCCAGUAGUCCCUGUCUCUUAUACA